GUCUCCAGAGCACAGCCCUGGCUUGGCACACGCUGAAACAGGCGUCCGAGUUGAGAUGCAUAAGUUCUGUAGUGCACGCGUAGCGCGUGAGCUGGUGUGUAAACCUUCAGCAGGUACCGGAGUGCCUCGGGAACACUUUGCCCUCGCUGUUUGCAGUCCCUGCAUGGAAACACGCGGCAGGCUGUGUCCCACAAAACCCUGCCGGGUAGGUAAAUAUGCUCGCUCUCGUUUUACAGAUGGAUAAGCAGAGACAGAGAGAUACCGAGCGACUUGCCCUAAAGGUUAAACACGACGUCCGAAACAUAACCCAGGGCCCUCAGCUGAAGAAGCGGUGGCUGUGUUUCAUUAAAGAUACCCAGGAAAUUAAACCAUUCUAGCUGGCUGGGCAGUCUUGCAGAACUGCUGUCCUCCCCUGAAUCUAAAUGGGCUAAGUUUGCUCUGUGGAGCACCUCAUGAUGUGUUCGGGCUGCUGGCAUUGCUGGUAUUGUGCUUCUGUGUGGCUGGAAGUUUCCUCCAAGAACCAAAGUUCGGAGUUGUCUCUGACCUCAGUGGGACCCGAUUUAUUGCCUGUUCUCUUGUACCACCGCAGUGGUUGAACGCCCAGCAAACAGAGCUGGUGAAACCAUAUUUGAUUAAAUGUCUCUGAUUGUAUGUGGCAUUGGUUAAAUGUUGUUUGCGUUGUGCUUAAUAUCACUGAAGUAAAAAUGCUGUAUAAGAAGAUAACUAUUUCAUUAUUAUUUUUUCAAUAAACAUUUUCCGGAAGCCACUUCUAUCCACAAGAAAAGAGAACCGUGAGGGGGAAAUAAAAACAGGUGGUUUUCAUCCAAAUCAA
Long non-coding RNA from Oxyura jamaicensis (ruddy duck), 832 nucleotides. RefSeq lists it as uncharacterized. The transcript has 2 exons. NCBI's taxonomy places the organism in Eukaryota, Metazoa, Chordata, Aves, Anseriformes, Anatidae. The record is from RefSeq and is a predicted model, not a curated record.